Long non-coding RNA from Bubalus bubalis (water buffalo), 863 nucleotides. RefSeq lists it as uncharacterized. The transcript has 3 exons. The record is from RefSeq and is a predicted model, not a curated record. NCBI's taxonomy places the organism in Eukaryota, Metazoa, Chordata, Mammalia, Artiodactyla, Bovidae.
CCUCCUGUGUGCACUUCCUUAAUUCUCAUUCACUCCCGAGUACGGUGGGGUGAAGCCUGGCCUGGGUGAUCUGCUCUGUGUGGCCCUGAGCAGGUCAGUGAACCACUCCAGCCUCGGUUUCUCCACUGCACCUUCUACACGAGCUAACUGGUCUUGGUGUUUGCUGCAUUUAAUGCACCAUCUUCACUGUUCAAUUGAAAUACAUGGAGCCUGGAAUUCUCUUCCAACCAAGGACUAAUUCCUUUAAUUUCACCCAAGUCUUAGCACAAGGAAGAAGAUACAGCAGUAGAAGGAUCUGUGCCUUUAAAAGACCAUCCUGGACUGGGUGUAAAAAAGCAGAAAUUAUGGUGCCAGCUUCCUCAAAGAGUCGGACAUGACUGAGCAACUAACGCUUUACUUUCCUCUACUGUAAAGGUAGUUUACCUCUGUUUAAGAUUGCUGUGCUUGACGCUCACAAAUCCAAAGUAACUGUUAUUCAAAACUGGCAUGGUUUUCUUCUUCCAUAUGGCAGUAGCAGCUGUUUAUUAAGCACCUCUUAUAUGUCAGAUACCAUGCUGGUUGCUUUGUACAUUAUCUAAUUUUCCCAAUCAAGUGAAACGUGACCCCCAUUUUACAGAAGAGAAAACUGAGGCUUAGAGAUGCUUAGUAAUUUGAACAACUUGUAUAUAGCAGAGCUCGAGUAUGGAUGCACAACUGAUUCCAAAGUCACUGCUCUUUUUGCUACACCUUGCAAUGUCAGCGCCUUGUAUUGCCAGGAAUGCUUGCUGGGGAAUGUUGGGGCUUGCAUUCAUGACUUCGGUGGCUGUUGGGAAGGGAAGGAUAGAAUAGUAAUGAAAUGUUCCAGUAUAUCCAAGGAGGCUCAC